UGCUGAGGGUAAGCCGUCCUUCGCCUCGAUUUCCCCAACGACAGACUCUCGCAGUGCGAGGGCGUGGUAGGGGUUCUCACCUUUGGAAAGACGGGUUGAGCAGGCUUCGGCCUGCCGAUGCGUCUAAGUCGAGGGUGUUCAGGGUAGGCAGCUCAGACUUGGCGGGAUCGGUUCGAGAUGGGUUGCGGUCGUGGGAUGAGGUUGAUUUAAAGUUGCGGAGGUGCGGGUCUGCAGGGUAGGCAGGAGUGCCAGAGUCGAGCUGAAAGCCUCUCUGGGACGAAUAGGUGAUGGUAUGGGACAUCUGCAGGGUAGGCAGGAUUGUCUUGGUCGAGCUGGUUGUCGUCCGAGUGGUGAAAGGCGAUCGGGGUCGGCUGCAGGGUAGGCAGAAAUGGCUUGGUGGGAUGCUGGACGGAGAGGCGCCGGUCUCCUGCCCGGGUCAUGUCGUGGGAACCUGUGCGAGACGGUUCUGCGGUCUGGUGGUGUGGUCGUGAGUCGAUUUUUAAAAUCCGCCAUACAAAUGAAUUUUGCGGAAAAUCAAAGUUGGCCCGCGAGACGGCUCGGGCGAGCGGCCGGCUGGGAGAGCCCCGGAGGACCUAUAAGAGAGAAACGGCGCCGGGAGGGGCCCAAGGAGAGCUGCAGGGUAGGCAGUCCCAGGUUGGGCGUGGAGGCUCGGUGCUUGUCCUUUUGUUGUUAGCUUUCGAUGUCUGCAUUCACUCGCUCGUCUGGACGGUCGUCCGGCUGGUCAGGCAGAAAGUCACCCUGACACUCGUCAGUCAUGGGCUCAUGCGUUCCGUGGGAGGUCACGUGAUCAAUCACGUGCUUUUAUAAAUAGCUUAUUUAACUGGUGAAAGUGUCUUAGUCAGCAAAAAUAAUUAAUUACAUAUGAUUAUCGAGUUGUUGACGGAUUCUGCGUGUGUGUAAGUGCGGAAAAGUUGAGAAAGGUACGGGAAAUUCAAACCACCCAUUUGGGACGGGCAACGCAGCUUUCCGUAUACCAUCGGAUGCAGAAAAAGCUGAGGACUCCAAAACACCUUUCUUUUUCCCGUACAGCGACGGGUCGAGGCGUGAGGCCGUUUCCCGUAUCGAUGUCGGACUGGUCUAGGGUAGGUAGGAUCAGCUUCUGCCUACCCGGUAGCUGAGCUUCAAAACAACCUGGCGCCCGCCACAGACCUCGCCCGAGGUCGUGAGGUAUAUCAUUCGAAUUGCCUUGGCCUGUUCUAUGUGCCUAGGCACUCUCGUGAAAACCAGUGCGAAAUGGUUUUGCGGUUUGGUGGUCGUGAGCACAUUUUUAAAAUUUCCCAUACAAAUGAAUUUUGCGGAAAAUAAAAAGUGGCCCACGAGCCCGAUCUGGCGUGCGGCCGACUAAAACAUCCUCGGAGGGUAUAUGAGAGGGGAGCAAAGCAGCCCGGCCCGAAAGGGUUGGACAAAGCUGCGGCGCGAACCUCCGUACCUGAUCUUGAUAGCCGACCACUGUGGCUUCCCCGGCGUGCAGGCGUCUUCGGACAAACCCCCGGAAGAGGAAGUUAGUGAUUGGUGACCCCCGUGAAGCGUCUGGAAUAACACGCGUAGCGGGGACCAAGUCCUUCAACCAGCCUGAGGCAUACCACCGAGGCUGCUGGGGGCACUGGGCUCUGUGGAUGGCUGGCCACUGGCUAGUACUGAAACUUAGCACAUCGGGGGAAACCACCCGCUGCUGAAGCCCUCGCGGCAGACGCAGCGGGCGCGGUCCUCCACCAUGGGCUCCUAAGCCACAGCACCCUUCGGGGCUCGCUGCGGCGGACGGUAGCCCUGGAAAACCCAGAGUGGGAAAGCGGAACGCCUUGCGAGGCGCGACUGGCCCUGCCGGAAGCGCUGAGCUUGGUUCAGCCCGGCGAAAGGUGUAAAAACCUCUAGCUGCUGUAACUAGUGAGCUCUCCGGCGCCUUCGGGCGCUGGCGGCCUUCGGGCCGGCACACACGAUAGUACAG
RNAcentral lists this ribosomal RNA (1966 nucleotides) under Fusarium sp. JEH1. Its description in RNAcentral is "partial contains 26S ribosomal RNA, 26S-18S ribosomal RNA intergenic spacer, and 18S ribosomal RNA". Lineage: Eukaryota; Fungi; Ascomycota; Sordariomycetes; Hypocreales; Nectriaceae. The record is from RNAcentral.